Molecule: ribosomal RNA, 669 nt
Filed under: Enterobacteriaceae bacterium
Lineage: Bacteria; Pseudomonadati; Pseudomonadota; Gammaproteobacteria; Enterobacterales; Enterobacteriaceae
Description: bacterial SSU rRNA
Rfam family: Bacterial small subunit ribosomal RNA
Source: RNAcentral
UGCAGUCGAACGGUAACAGGAAACAGCUUGCUGUUUCGCUGACGAGUGGCGGACGGGUGAGUAAUGUCUGGGAAACUGCCUGAUGGAGGGGGAUAACUACUGGAAACGGUAGCUAAUACCGCAUAACGUCGCAAGACCAAAGAGGGGGACCUUCGGGCCUCUUGCCAUCGGAUGUGCCCAGAUGGGAUUAGCUAGUAGGUGGGGUAACGGCUCACCUAGGCGACGAUCCCUAGCUGGUCUGAGAGGAUGACCAGCCACACUGGAACUGAGACACGGUCCAGACUCCUACGGGAGGCAGCAGUGGGGAAUAUUGCACAAUGGGCGCAAGCCUGAUGCAGCCAUGCCGCGUGUAUGAAGAAGGCCUUCGGGUUGUAAAGUACUUUCAGCGGGGAGGAAGGGAGUAAAGUUAAUACCUUUGCUCAUUGACGUUACCCGCAGAAGAAGCACCGGCUAACUCCGUGCCAGCAGCCGCGGUAAUACGGAGGGUGCAAGCGUUAAUCGGAAUUACUGGGCGUAAAGCGCACGCAGGCGGUUUGUUAAGUCAGAUGUGAAAUCCCCGGGCUCAACCUGGGAACUGCAUCUGAUACUGGCAAGCUUGAGUCUCGUAGAGGGGGGUAGAAUUCCAGGUGUAGCGGUGAAAUGCGUAGAGAUCUGGAGGAAUACCGGUGG